This 72-nucleotide transfer RNA is filed under the name Thelazia callipaeda (thelaziosis nematode). It matches the Rfam family "tRNA". From Rfam's summary of the family: Transfer RNA (tRNA) molecules are approximately 80 nucleotides in length. Their secondary structure includes four short double-helical elements and three loops (D, anti-codon, and T loops). Lineage: Eukaryota; Metazoa; Nematoda; Chromadorea; Rhabditida; Thelaziidae. The record is from Rfam by way of RNAcentral.
UGGGGUAUAGCUCAAUGGCAGAGCGUUCGACAGUAGAUCGAAAGGUCCCUGGUUCAAUUCCGGGUACCCCCU